UACAGAGGUCCCAAGCGUUGUUCGGAUUCAUUGGGCGUAAAGGGUGCGUAGGCGGCGCGGGAAGUCGGGUGCGAAAUCUCGGAGCUUAACUCCGAAACUGCAUUCGAUACUGCCGUGCUUGAGGACUGGAGAGGAGACUGGAAUUUACGGUGUAGCGGUGAAAUGCGUAGAUAUCGUAAGGAAGACCAGUGGCGAAGGCGGGUCUCUGGACAGUUCCUGACGCUGAGGCACGAAGGCCAGGGGAGCAAACGGG
RNAcentral lists this ribosomal RNA (253 nucleotides) under uncultured bacterium. Its description in RNAcentral is "partial 16S ribosomal RNA". It matches the Rfam family "Bacterial small subunit ribosomal RNA", at positions 524 to 776 of the family's 1533-position model. The record is from RNAcentral.